ACACGAUGAAUAUUUAAUGAAGUUUGACGGCGGGGCUGGGAUACACGUGCCAAUCUGGUCGGUGCUUAUACAGAACAGGAAAUGGAAGCUGGGAAUAGAGUCAGCGUCGGAUCGGGGACAACGCCGAGGACUGAAGGAUAUGAACGAAUUCCUUGUCCGACUUGCAAAAGGAAAUUUAUAGAGGAAAGCUACAACAAACACAUAGACAUAUGCAAAAAUCACGCAAAGAGAGCGUCCGAGAGGACUUCGUUCGACUCGUCAAAACAGCGAUUAAGCCAACUGCUGGAUGAGGUCAAGCUCUCAAAUCAGACCCUGCCGCCAUACGGAGGAGAAAUACUUCGUUGAGAGGGGAAAACGUUAAUUUUAUGAUAUUGAGAGAACAACAAGGCGCCCGGCCAGAGAGAAAAACGUGUGUGUACUGAACAACUGACGGAAACAAAACAGAAAAGCCCUACACCGUCUGCCAACUAAGACUCUCAUCAUUCGGUAGGCCAAUCAGAGGUCGGAGGCUUAAAAUAAAGAGAAAUGAAU
RNAcentral lists this unclassified non-coding RNA (531 nucleotides) under Cimex lectularius (bed bug). RNAcentral describes it as "zinc finger C2HC domain-containing protein T03G11.3- like, transcript variant X6". Lineage: Eukaryota; Metazoa; Arthropoda; Insecta; Hemiptera; Cimicidae. The record is from RNAcentral.